AGUGAGACAGCUGGGUCACAUGACGGUUCCAUUCUCAUUUUUUUUUCAGCAAACUCCCAAACUCCUUGCCAAAGUGGUUGUCCUAAUUUGCAUUUCCACCAGCAGU
Molecule: microRNA precursor, 106 nt
Filed under: Marmota monax (woodchuck)
Lineage: Eukaryota; Metazoa; Chordata; Mammalia; Rodentia; Sciuridae
Source: RNAcentral